AUACUUGCCUGGCAGGGGAGCUACCAUGAUCACAAAGGUGGUUUCCCAGGGCAAGGCUUACCCAUUUUACUCCGGAUGUGCUGACCCCUACGAUUUCCCCAAAUGCAGGAAAUUCGACUGCAUAAUCCGUGGUAGUGGGGGACUGCAUUCAUAUUCUCUCCUU
Small nuclear RNA from Mesocricetus auratus (golden hamster), 163 nucleotides. Its record names the gene U1. It matches the Rfam family "U1 spliceosomal RNA". Rfam says of the family: U1 is a small nuclear RNA (snRNA) component of the spliceosome (involved in pre-mRNA splicing). The record is from Ensembl. Lineage: Eukaryota; Metazoa; Chordata; Mammalia; Rodentia; Cricetidae.